This 202-nucleotide ribosomal RNA is filed under the name uncultured bacterium. Its description in RNAcentral is "partial 16S ribosomal RNA". It matches the Rfam family "Bacterial small subunit ribosomal RNA", at positions 328 to 539 of the family's 1533-position model. The record is from RNAcentral.
ACGCUCGACACCUACGGGAGACAGCAGUGGGGAAUAUUGGGGCAAUGGGCGCAAGCCUGACCCAGCAACGCCGCGUGAAGGAAGAAGGCCCUCGGGUUGUAAACUUCUUUUGUCAGGGACGAAGCAAGUGACGGUACCUGACGAAUAAGCCACGGCUAACUACGUGCCAGCAGCCGCGGUAAUCUGAGCGGGCUGGCAAGGC